This 24-nucleotide non-coding RNA is filed under the name Arabidopsis thaliana (thale cress). Lineage: Eukaryota; Viridiplantae; Streptophyta; Magnoliopsida; Brassicales; Brassicaceae. The record is from RNAcentral.
AUCGCAUGUCUUCGUUCGGAGCCG